AACGAACGCUGGCGGCAUGCCUAACAUAUGCCAGUCGAACGUGACCUUCGGGUCUAGUGGCGCACGGGUGCGUAACGCGUGGGAACCUGCCCUUAGGUUCGGAAUAACUCCCCGAAAGGGGUGCUAAUACCGGAUAAUGUCUUCGGACCAAAGAUUUAUCGCCUUUGGAUGGGCCCGCGUUGGAUUAGCUAGUUGGUAGGGUAAAAGCCUACCAAGGCGACGAUCCAUAGCUGGUCUGAGAGGAUGAUCAGCCACACUGGGACUGAGACACGGCCCAGACUCCUACGGGAGGCAGCAGUGGGGAAUAUUGGACAAUGGGCGAAAGCCUGAUCCAGCAAUGCCGCGUGAGUGAUGAAGGCCUUAGGGUUGUAAAGCUCUUUUACCCGGGAUGAUAAUGACAGUACCGGGAGAAUAAGCUCCGGCUAACUCCGUG
Molecule: ribosomal RNA, 433 nt
Filed under: uncultured bacterium
Lineage: Bacteria
Description: partial 16S ribosomal RNA
Rfam family: Bacterial small subunit ribosomal RNA
Source: RNAcentral